This 301-nucleotide ribosomal RNA is filed under the name uncultured bacterium. RNAcentral describes it as "partial 16S ribosomal RNA". It matches the Rfam family "Bacterial small subunit ribosomal RNA", at positions 509 to 807 of the family's 1533-position model. The record is from RNAcentral.
CAGUAGCCGCGGUAAUACGAAGGGUGCAAGCGUUACUCGGAAUUACUGGGCGUAAAGCGUGCGUAGGUGGUGGUUUAAGUCCGUUGUGAAAGCCCUGGGCUCAACCUGGGAAUUGCAGUGGAUACUGGGUCACUAGAGUGUGGUAGAGGAUAGUGGAAUUUCCGGUGUAGCAGUGAAAUGCGUAAAGAUCGGAAGGAACAUCUGUGGCGAAGGCGACUAUCUGGGCCAACACUGACACUGAGGCACGAAAGCGUGGGGAGCAAACAGGAUUAGAUACCCCUGUAGUCCCUGUCUCUUAUAC